RNAcentral lists this ribosomal RNA (377 nucleotides) under uncultured bacterium. RNAcentral's name for it is "bacterial SSU rRNA". It matches the Rfam family "Bacterial small subunit ribosomal RNA", at positions 523 to 898 of the family's 1533-position model. The record is from RNAcentral.
AAACGUAGGUGGCUAGCGUUGUCCGGAAUUACUGGGCGUAAAGGGCGUGUAGGCGGGGGUGCAAGUCAGGUGUGAAAUACCGCGGCUUAACCGCGGGGGUGCAUCUGAAACUGUACCUCUUGAGUGCCGGAGAGGAAAGCGGAAUUCCCAGUGUAGCGGUGAAAUGCGUAGAGAUUGGGAGGAACACCAGUGGCGAAGGCGGCUUUCUGGACGGCAACUGACGCUGAGGCGCGAAAGCGUGGGGAGCAAACAGGAUUAGAUACCCUGGUAGUCCACGCUGUAAACGAUGGAUACUAGGUGUAGGAGGUAUCGACCCCUUCUGUGCCGGAGUUAACACAAUAAGUAUCCCGCCUGGGGAGUACGGCCGCAAGGUUGAA